This 497-nucleotide ribosomal RNA is filed under the name uncultured bacterium. RNAcentral describes it as "partial 16S ribosomal RNA". It matches the Rfam family "Bacterial small subunit ribosomal RNA", at positions 28 to 507 of the family's 1533-position model. The record is from RNAcentral.
GAUGAACGCUGGCGGCGUGCCUAAUACAUGCAAGCCGAGCGAACAGACGAGGAGCUUGCUCCUCUGACGUUAGCGGCGGACGGGUGAGUAACACGUGGAUAACCUACCUAUAAGACUGGGAUAACUUCGGGAAACCGGAGCUAAUACCGGAUAAUAUAUUGAACCGCAUGGUUCAAUAGUGAAAGACGGUUUUGCUGUCACUUAUAGAUGGAUCCGCGCCGCAUUAGCUAGUUGGUAAGGUAACGGCUUACCAAGGCAACGAUGCGUAGCCGACCUGAGAGGGUGAUCGGCCACACUGGAACUGAGACACGGUCCAGACUCCUACGGGAGGCAGCAGUAGGGAAUCUUCCGCAAUGGGCGAAAGCUUGACGGAGCAACGCCGCGUGAGUGAUGAAGGUCUUCGGAUCGUAAAACUCUGUUAUUAGGGAAGAACAAAUGUGUAAGUAACUAUGCACGUCUUGACGGUACCUAAUCAGAAAGCCACGGCUAACUACGUG